GGGCGUAAGAGCUCGUAGGUCGUUUGUCGCGUCGAUUGUGAAAAUCUGAGGCCCAACCUCAGACCUGCAGUCGAUACGGGCAAACUAGAGUGUGGUAGGGGAGACUGGAAUUCCUGGUGUAGCGGUGGAAUGCGCAGAUAUCAGGAGGAACACCAAUGGCGAAGGCAGGUCUCUGGGCCAUAACUGACACUGAGGAGCGAAAGUGCGGGGAGCGAACAGGAUUAGAUACCCUGGUAGUCCGCACCGUAAACGGUGGGCACUAGUUGUGGGAACCUUCCACGGUUUCCGCGACGCAGCAAACGCAUUAAGUGCCCCGCCUGGGGAGUACGAUCGCAAGAUUAAAACUCAAAGGAAUUGACGGGGCCCCGCACAAGCAGCGGAGCAUGCGGCUUAAUUCGACGCAACGCGAAGAACCUUACCAAGGCUUGACAUAUAGCGAAAAGUGGCAGAGAUGUCAUGUCCGCAAGGGCGCUAUACAGGUGGUGCAUGGUUGUCGUCAGCUCGUGUCGUGAGAUGUUGGGUUAAGUCCCGCAACGAGCGCAACCCUCGUUCUGUGUUACCAGCAUUCAGUUGGGGACUCACAGGAGACUGCCGGGGUCAACUCGGAGGAAGGUAAU
This 617-nucleotide ribosomal RNA is filed under the name uncultured Actinomycetes bacterium. RNAcentral describes it as "bacterial SSU rRNA". It matches the Rfam family "Bacterial small subunit ribosomal RNA", at positions 556 to 1177 of the family's 1533-position model. The record is from RNAcentral. Lineage: Bacteria; Bacillati; Actinomycetota; Actinomycetes.